RNAcentral lists this unclassified non-coding RNA (21 nucleotides) under Mus musculus (house mouse). Its description in RNAcentral is "oocyte_clustered_small_RNA11458". Lineage: Eukaryota; Metazoa; Chordata; Mammalia; Rodentia; Muridae. The record is from RNAcentral.
GGCGUAGGUAGGUGUGCUGAG